CCUGUUGCUUUUCUUUCUCCACUCCCAGUGCUCCAAGCCAGCCUUGCCCUGACUGCUUUCCUUUCUGCACUCCCAGUGCUCCAAGCCAGCCUUGCCCUGACUGCUUUCCUUUCUGCACUCCCAGUGCUCCAAGCCAGCCUUGACUGCUUCCUCCUGCACUCCCAGUGCUCCACGCCAGCCUUAUAUUGCUUCCUCCUGCACUCCCACUGCUCCAAGCCAGCCUUGACUGCUUCCUUUCUGCACUCCCAGUGCCUAGUCUCCUUGACUCUCUAUCUGGAGAGAACAGCCUCUCUCCUACCUGCUUCCUGGGAGGAAGCCAGCAAUCCCUCCCUUUUUCCUGCCUAGCCGGGAGGGGUUUAUUCCCACUGCAACAG
Non-coding RNA from Pelobates cultripes (western spadefoot toad), 374 nucleotides. NCBI's taxonomy places the organism in Eukaryota, Metazoa, Chordata, Amphibia, Anura, Pelobatidae. The record is from the annotation of a GenBank genome assembly.